CUACGGGAGGCAGCAGUAAGGAAUUUUGGACAAUGGGCGCAAGCCUGAUCCAGCUAUGCCGCGUGUGGGAAGAAGGCCUUCGGGUUGUAAACCACUUUUGUCAGGGAAGAAACGGCCUUUUCUAAUACAAGGGGCUAAUGACGGUACCUGAAGAAUAAGCACCGGCUAACUACGUGCCAGCAGCCGCGGUAAUACGUAGGGUGCAAGCGUUAAUCGGAAUUACUGGGCGUAAAGCGUGCGCAGGCGGCUUUGCAAGACAGAUGUGAAAUCCCCGGGCUCAACCUGAGAACUGCAUUUGUGACUGCAUGGCUAGAGUACGGUAGAGGGGGAUGGAAUUCCGCGUGUAGCAGUGAAAUGCGUAGAUAUGCGGAGGAACACCGAUGGCGAAGGCAAUCCCCUGGACCUGUACUGACGCUCAUGCACGAAGGCGUGGGGAGCAAACAGGAUUAGAUACCCCCGUAGUCCC
RNAcentral lists this ribosomal RNA (466 nucleotides) under uncultured bacterium. Its description in RNAcentral is "bacterial SSU rRNA". It matches the Rfam family "Bacterial small subunit ribosomal RNA", at positions 339 to 797 of the family's 1533-position model. The record is from RNAcentral.